RNAcentral lists this ribosomal RNA (535 nucleotides) under Symbiodinium sp. CCMP1633. RNAcentral's name for it is "eukaryotic LSU rRNA". It matches the Rfam family "Eukaryotic large subunit ribosomal RNA", at positions 111 to 608 of the family's 3401-position model. RNAcentral also lists the same sequence under 1 other name. The record is from RNAcentral. Lineage: Eukaryota; Dinophyceae; Suessiales; Symbiodiniaceae.
AGGCUGGAAACCGAUACAUCUGUGUCGGGCUGUAGCCUGCAGGCAUAGCGCUAUCGGCGGCUCGAGCGCAAGCCUCUUGGAAUAGAGCGUGUGCCCGGGUGAGAAUCCUGCAUUUCGCUCGAUGUCCGCUGUCCACAGUGCUUGUCCUGAGAGUCACGCUCCUCGGAAUUGGAGCGUAAAUCAGGUGGUAAGUUUCAUCCAAAGCUAAAUAGAAGCUCGAGACCAAUAGCAAACAAGUACCAUGAGGGAAAGAUGAAAAGGACUUUGGAAAGAGAGUUAAAAGUGUUUGAAAUUGCUGAGAGCGAAGCGAACGGAGCCACAUGUCGUGCUGAGAUUGCUGUGGGUCUUUGUGAGCCUUGAGCAUGUAAGCGCAAGCUGACUGCUUAUGUGUGAGCAUUUACCCGCAGUGUUUCUCAGCAUGCGAGUCAUUAGCCACAUUUGUUUGAGGAUGGCCUUCAGCUCACAUGGUACACUUGUUAGUGUUCCUCUGUGCGGUGUGGGACUCAGACAGGUGUGGCUUGUUGACCCAGUGGUU